AAAAAAAAAAAAAAAAAGGAAAGAGAAAGAAGUUCAUCCAUUUCAUUAGAAAGCACCAAUUAAUUGCGUCCGGUGAAUAGGAAAUAUAGUAAAUAGCCAAAAGAACAAGGGUUUUUUAUUUUCUGCUUUUUGGGCUAGUAGACGAGGAUUGAUUUUAUUAUUAUUUUUUUCCCUAUUUGUCUCAUCUUUUGCAGACCUCUAGUGGUUUUCAAACAA
This 216-nucleotide unclassified non-coding RNA is filed under the name Hevea brasiliensis (rubber tree). The record is from RNAcentral. Lineage: Eukaryota; Viridiplantae; Streptophyta; Magnoliopsida; Malpighiales; Euphorbiaceae.